This 326-nucleotide ribosomal RNA is filed under the name Corbicula sp. AA10b. RNAcentral's name for it is "partial 28S ribosomal RNA". The record is from RNAcentral. Lineage: Eukaryota; Metazoa; Mollusca; Bivalvia; Venerida; Cyrenidae.
CCGGCCGCCCACGGAGCUCGCAAAGUUCGGAUCCGCAAGGACCGGGCCAGCGGGACGUCCGCGUGGCAGGGUGCACUUUCUCCGCGGUCGAGUGCUACGACCGGUUUCGCGGCGGUCAGAAGCCCGGCGGAAAGGUAGCGCCGCCCCUCGGGGUGUCGUGUUAUAGGCCGCCGCGGUGGACUCGCCGCGAGACCGAGGACGCUUGCCGCGCCGAGCGGUCCCGGGCCGUCUUGGGUGGUUCGACCUCGGCUGCACUGCUCCGCAGAGCACCGUAACCGCCGCCCUAGCACGGGUCCGGAGACUGCCGGCGCCUCGGGUCAGUAGCG